RNAcentral lists this ribosomal RNA (160 nucleotides) under Espadaea amoena. Its description in RNAcentral is "5.8S ribosomal RNA". The stretch from base 1 to 138 matches the Rfam family "5.8S ribosomal RNA", at positions 19 to 154 of the family's 154-position model. From Rfam's summary of the family: 5.8S ribosomal RNA (5.8S rRNA) is a component of the large subunit of the eukaryotic ribosome. It is transcribed by RNA polymerase I as part of the 45S precursor that also contains 18S and 28S rRNA. Functionally, it is thought that 5.8S rRNA may be involved in ribosome translocation. Lineage: Eukaryota; Viridiplantae; Streptophyta; Magnoliopsida; Solanales; Solanaceae. RNAcentral also lists the same sequence under 1 other name. The record is from RNAcentral.
UCUCGGCUCUCGCAUCGAUGAAGAACGUAGCGAAAUGCGAUACUUGGUGUGAAUUGCAGAAUCCCGUGAACCAUCGAGUCUUUGAACGCAAGUUGCGCCCGAAGCCGUUAGGCCGAGGGCACGUCUGCCUGGGCGUCACGCAUCGCGUCGCCCCCCGCGC